ACAUGCCCCCCAUGACCAGAGAGGAAGGAGAAGAUGCAGUCCAGUUUGCUAACAGGGUUAAGUCUGCUAUUGCUAUACAAGGAGGCCUGACUGAACUUCCCUGGGAUGGAGGACUAAAGAGAGCAAAGGUGAAGGACAUCUUUAAGGAAGAGCAGCAGAAAAAUUACAGCAAGAUGAUUGUGGGCAAUGGAUCUCUCAGCUAAGAGGACGGAUGACAGCCUUUAGAUCUAGAACUAGCCCUUAGAAAUGGAAUGGCUUUUUUUGUUUUGUUUUGUUUUAUUGUUUUGUUUUUAUUAUUGUUAAUCUUUUCUACAGAAUGAUUGUCUCUACCUCUUUAUGCCAGAGGCAGAACCUACAGGUGCCCUUUUUGGCUUUUGUUGUUGUUGUAACAUUAGCCCCAUGGAUUGUAAGGUGGUUUACUGAGUUAAAACAGAUUCUGCUUUUGUAAAAUGAUGGCAUCACUGUGGACUGAAUGAAAUAUUUGUAUAGAAAAAAGUGCUUGAAAAGUGUGUUUGGAACUCAUCGAUAGGGUAAUUCUCCAAAAAUGCCCAAACUCUUUUUCUGUAAUUAGCCUUGCCACUUUCUUCAGUCACUUAAAUGGUGAGAUUACACAUCAGUGCAAGAUGACCAUUAUGGUUAUGGUCUACUGCAAGGUUGAAAGGAAAAAUGGAGGAUUGUAUUUAGGAAAAGGGACAACUUUGUGGCCACCUGCUCUGAAAGUCAAAAGGAAAUGUAAAUUAGUGUCAUUAGUGUGUUGGAAGAGAAAUACUAUUCAGUAAGCUUCGCCAAAGAAAAGUGAGUCAAAGUUAAUGUGUGUGCGCAUUUAUAUGUAGGCAGCUCGUAGACCACAUUUUAACCAGCAACUGGUAACAAAGAGCUUAGUUUUCCUUGUUUGAAUGCUGUAGAUCUGUACCUAGUACCCCUCCCAUCUACUGAUUUGUUUGUUUUUGUAACCAAACACAUUUUCAGAUAGAAGGAGCCUUAAAAAAAAAAAAUCACAUUGAGUAACUUCAGUAUGAAUGAAUGAGAGUGUGUGGAGCUACCCCUCACCCUCCACCCCUUUGUGCUUUUUAUUCCCGAAUUUUCCCAGUCUCUUAAACAGAAAAAUGACUGAUAUAAUUAUCUUUUGGAAACUGAGCCUUAAUUUUUUUUAGAGGGGGAAAUAAGUUUUCCCCAACUCACACAGCAUAAGCAAUGUUUGACAGCAAUAUAAUGCCGUUGUAAACUACUGAGAGUAUUGUAUCUGUUCUGGUAACCAUGUACAGAAUGUGAAACUGUCUUAUGAAUAUAAAUAAAUUCUAUAUUUCU
RNAcentral lists this long non-coding RNA (1308 nucleotides) under Homo sapiens (human). RNAcentral describes it as "long non-coding RNA NONHSAT198781.1". Lineage: Eukaryota; Metazoa; Chordata; Mammalia; Primates; Hominidae. The record is from RNAcentral.